This is a long non-coding RNA of Pseudopipra pipra, 8479 nucleotides long. RefSeq lists it as uncharacterized. The transcript is spliced from 4 exons. NCBI's taxonomy places the organism in Eukaryota, Metazoa, Chordata, Aves, Passeriformes, Pipridae. The record is from RefSeq and is a predicted model, not a curated record.
CAGUUUGGGGGAUUCAGAUGUGAAAUCUGUCUAAAAAAAAAGCAUCUUCUUUUUCUAAGCAAGCCUUCCCUGCUUGGCAGAUUGGGAAUUUUACCCUCUCUGGUGGGAGCUGCAGUGUCUGAUUGCUACCUGACUAAGUAGGAGCUCCACAAGGCCACCUUUACACUGAACAAUCUCAUACAUCAGGGGCCAUUCGAAUUCAAUGGCUUUACUAGUGCUAAAAUAGGAUAUUGGAAACUUAGUCUUAAAUCACACCUUUCAGGUAAUAAGCAGCAAUGAAUGGGAGAGAAAAGGAAGAGGGAGGCUUAUAGGAUUUAAGGAGUUUCUUUUGAAAAAGGAUCCCACCCUGCUGCUGAUGGGCAGACGCUCAUGUGUGUGUUAAGAUGUGCAAAUAAAGCAGGGUAUAAAGCUGUUAGCAGUGGUUCAGAGCAACAGACUAACUCCUGUCAAGGAAAAGCAGGUUAGGUAAACUUUUCAGGUGUUUGGAGGUGAAUCGUUUCAUUCAUGCACAGCCCUUGUUUGACCCAACUAUUUCACAUCAUUACCAAUUGCUUUGUUCGUACAUAUCAAACUUCCCUCUUGUGCUUUAUUGGUUUCUGCUCUUGCUGACCCCUUCCAGCAGUUUACUUUCUAACAUCCUGAAAGCUCCAUCAUGACUGUUCAGCACACCUCACCGAGGGCUGAGAUUAAAAGUUAAAAAAGAGAAAGACUGAACACAACAGGAGAGAAAAGAGAAGAGCUUAUGGCAGCAGCCUGGUGACACUCUGGGGAGAGUGAAAUGGGAUGAGUAACCACCCGGAAUAAUGGCAGAAGGGAAAAAUGAGAGAAGAAACUACAACAGCAGGGCCUGAGUGAGAGAAUCAGUAGGAACAUCAAGCUGAGCAGACCUGGGAAUGGGAGGAAGGUAAAGUCUAUCUAUUUGUCUCAGCAUUCUGUUCCAAAGACAGACAUCGAGCCCUGUUAAGAUAGAAAAUAGGAUCAUUUAGUUUACAACACUGGGCCCAGAUAUCUUGUAUUCAAUGGGCUUCUCUCCUGGACUAAAAGUCUGCUCAAGUCUAAGGAAUAAGAGCAGUCCCAGGGAAAUCUGCAGUGAGGACAGGCAGAGGAGAAGGUGGGAAUCGAAAGAGGGGGAGAGCAGAUUGUGUCAGACCCACCUUCAGUGGCUGCAGGACACUGAUGCAGCUCGGCCAACACAGCACCAACAUCCUCCCUCCACAGGGGCUACAGAGCUGCUUUUGUACCCCCUCUCUGCUCACAAGACUACAGGGGACAGAGGGGAGGUCAGAGGACAUCAGCCUGGCAGAGGCUCACUCUGGCUGAGCCCAGGACCCUCUGCCUCCUCUAUCCUAGGAACUCCCAGCAGAGUUAUGUUUAGGCUGAUCAUUACUGCUGUUGGUGGAGAAUAAACAUUUUAUUCAACAUAGGGAGGCUGAGAUUUGGGAGCCUGGCUCUGUUCUGGAUGGAGUGACAAUGGAAACAUUCAGUACUAAUGCCAGGAAACAUCAUAAGAUUUAUUUCGUGUCAAUAAAAGAAAGAAAUGUUUUGACAAAACCAGAAUAUUUUGCUGGAGUUUAUAUAUUUUCUUAAUAAUUCUCUAUUAUAUGAUAGAAAAUUAAAAUGAUAAGUUAAAUAUUGUUGUGUCCCCUGAAAAAGUUGGCAUGGGUUCUUUAGCACAGUCAGAACCUUCCAGUUUUCCUCCAAAAAAGAAGCAGUGUCAAAAUCAGUUUGAUGUUAUGAAGUGUCUCAGUGUUGAUGGAAGCACCAAACUAAUAGUCAGGAUAUGUAUGGCUAUCUCUAACUCUGCAAAGAACCUGACCUCCAGGUGCUCAUCUCAAUUUGCAAAAUUCAGACUUUGCUUUAAGUUUACGGUGCCAUGAAACAACAUAAAGCUCGGUGAUUCUUGGAUUAGGUUUUGACAAAUAAAAGAAAAACAGUGGGAUGUAAUGUUAAAGCAGAAGGAACUCCAGGAAAGAGCAACUGGAGGUCUAGGUAAAAAUACUGACUAUGUGGCUGCAACUGCAGAAUAUUCAGGCUGUAUGAAGUCUCUAACAAAAGAUAUUAUAUAAACUUAAAAAAAAAAGUUUAUUUGAAUUAAAAAAGAGUAUUUGACCUGCAUUCUUUUUCUCAUUAAGUAUAUCUUUUCUGUGUACAUUCUGCCUUUUCUUUUUAAUGCUAAUGAAGAAUUAAAUUGUUACAUUUACAGACUAAUGACCCUCAUCAAGAUUAUUUUAACAAUUCCUUCCCAGCUGUUCUAAGUCCUGUUUUCAUGUUUAAGUGACACAGACAGUUUUAGCUUCCAUGUCUGCCUUUGGUAUCUCUACCAAGUGUAGAUUUGAGAAAUGCACUGCCAUGUCCCAGGGUACAUAAAGCUUCACUUUGGUGUCCUUGACAUCUUUGGUCCUUUUUGUGGCUAUCUCAUAAUUCAUGCAAGUGAUGCCAUACAACUGUAAGUUUUUCAUGAGGUCAUAAAACUGAUUUAUAGAGGUUUUCCCAUAAUCUCCAAGCAAAUUAAAGAAGGUUGAUGGAGCUAUGCAACUCACUGUUGCCUCAACAAUGGUCUCAUUCAGAAAUGACACUGAACAAGAUUGAGGUAUUAAGAUAUCAAGAAUGUCCUUAAGAAGCCUUGUCUGUCUGUAAAAAAUAUGAUGCCUACAAACCAAGAAGGGCUGUUUCUUCUAUACACUGAGUUGAUUUUACUCAUGACAUCUACCUUAAGAUUAGUCAGAUAGCUUCUUCCUUUGCUUUCUGCUUACAAAUGGAAAAGUCUGAUUAAUCCAUUGAAGAUCAGCACUUGAAAAAAUAAUUUGAGGUUAAUCUGCUUUCCCUUCUAAGAUAGUUGAAGUUUUAGAUUAUCCAUUUUAGAAACGGUGUUUUAUUUUGCUUUUCAGCUUUUGAAAUAAUUUUACAAUAAAGGAAACAUUCCAAUAGAGGAAAAUUUUAAUUCCAAAAGGAAAAGAUAUUUAUAUAUACAUAUAUAUUUACACACAUAUAUAUAAACAAUAUACAUCAAACUAUAUAUUUGUAUAUUUAAAACUAUGGGGUUUUUUUAUAUAAAGUAUUUAAAACAUGCAUACAUAAAAACUGAACACAAACCUCAAGUUACUCUAUUUCCAAACUUUUAAAAGUGGACAUUUCAGAAUUGUGGGAACUUUAUUCUUCCAUCUUUAUUUCUGAAGCUGUUUGUGAAGCACUUGCAUUUUGACAGAACUAUAUAGUCCAAGAAAAUGAGCUUUCACUAAACUGCCUCCAACUUCAAUAUAUGCCCUGUGUCAAACAGAGAAAGCUUGGAUGUAGUUCCAACCUCUGUGGCUGGGGCUGAGUGCCAAUUACACUGCACCCAAUGGCCUAUAACUGUCUUUUUUGCUUCUGUGAAUAUCACUUUUCUAGUUAAAACCUUCAGGACAGCUUGCAAAUUAUUUGCUACUAUUGCUCUGGAGUUGAAAGUAACCUUGAAAACAUUUCUCCAUGGUUGUAAUCGAGGUGAUUCUUCCAUCCUUUCUCAAAAAUGGCAGCAUAUCGCUCCUCUUUUUUCCUCCUCAAACUCUCCCCAGCAGGUUUCUAAAGAACUUUUUGAGGUAGGUGCUAUCCUUUUGAUUUUCUUAUUAUUUGAAUAUUUCAUCUCAAACUUCACAGGGAGAUGACUAUCUCCCAAGUGCAUGAAACCAGCCAGGAGUGUUUUAUAUUUAUGUUCUAAAACAUUUGAUGCAAUCUGUGCUGUGAUUAUAAAUAAAUAAAUAAAUAAAUAAAUAAAUUCUUUUUAAAAUCACCUUUUUAUUGGAACGAGUGGGCCUUUUAGAGCAACAACACCAAAAAGUUCAUACACAAACUAAGAGAGUUCUAAAGGUGAGAAAUCCAGGAACUGUAAAGAGUAUUUGAAAUACAAACCAGCAAAUAUAAACAUUAGGCUUAUUAGUUUUAUUAUUAGAAUGAAGAAUUGAUUGUUAGAAUGAUUUCUUGAGUAAUUUAAAGGUGCUAAUAAAAAUAUUGUGCCAUAAUCUGAUUACACUGUUUUGUAAAUUAGAACUAGACAAUGUGAGUUCACUGAAAGGGAGAUGGCAUCAACCUUGCCAUGUUCAGGCACAGUACAAAGAGAUUUAAGUAUUUAAAUAAAAGACAUCUUCUGUGACACACAUUACAGAACUAUAUUUCAAGGCAAUGCUGGCUCAUGGCCAGUGUAUUGCAACAGGCUGUAAAAGAAAGUAAUGAAAUCAUCAGAUACUGUGGCCUUGAAUUCUAUUUUCUGUUUACAUGAUAUUAAACCCUUAUUAAUAUAAUCAUCCUUGUUAUUGUUCUAGUGUUGUAGUUUUGUCAUGAUAUUCCUUAAAGCCUCAGCUGCUGGAAUCAGGUGAUCAUCAGUACUCUCCGUAACGUGCCUCCAACAGAAGCUAUGGAUCAAGCGUGCUUCCAGACCAAAGGCACUCAGUCCUCCAGCUCCGAGCGCCGCGCUGCCAUUUCCCCUCCAUUUGUUUCUAUGGAGCUGCCGGUGUGUGCGGUCAUCCAUAAGGGUGCUGAGAUACCCUGGAGAGAGGAGGAAUAGCUGCAGCUAUUUUUCAUUAUUAUAUACUUCACUUCGUAAUAAAUGAGAUCCAUAGCAUGUGAACACUGGUCUUGUAGAUCAUCAUAUCAGCGAGCACAAGGAACCUUAUGUGCCACAAAGCUAAAUAAAAUAAAGUAAGUAAGCCUGAGAAAAAUAGGCUGGGGAGGCAGCUGAGUGUUCAGGACUUCACAGUGCGUCCUCUCAGCCUGAGAAUGACCUUAGGACUUGAAGCAACUAGAGAAGAAAUAGUUGUAAAACAAUUAUGUCUGUGUGUAUGUCUGUCUGCCUUAUCUCCAUCUAUAUAUGUAGCAGAAAUGUACAGAUGUGCUCUUCCAUUGUCUUGCAGAUGUCUUUGGGAUAACAGAAAUCAGCAAACAAUUUGUGAUCCAAAAAAGAAACAGCAGCAGUACCAACAGGACUCCUUUCAAUGCUCGUGAUGAUGGUUUAAAGUGCUGACAGCACUGCCUCACCAUCCAUCUUGGGCACAACUCCUCCUUCUAGGUAGAGUUUCCUACCUUUCUCAGCCAAACAGAGAGAGACAAACCAAGUUUUUAGCUUGACAGUCCAAGAGGUGCAAAUUAUGUCAGUCUUCUGCUUCUUCCACCGUGUCUUUGCAGGCCUGAAUUCAGUUGCUUUCCCGUGGAAAUAAAGAAUGUCACCAUGAAUGUCCAUUGGCAAACUGGAUAAGAAAGAGUGUCACAGUGCAGGACAACCUAGAAGAUGACAGGUAUUUCCAGGCAUAGCAAUGAUGAGAUCAAAUUCCCCUCAACCUGCCUUGUUUGCUGAUCUUUUAAUCAGAUUCAACUUCACUGCAGCUACAGCACAAGGUUCCCUGACAAUGUAUGACAGCAUGUGACAGAAAAAAAUAUUUUUUUUUUUUUUGGCCAUUUGAUGCUAUUUCAGAUAAAUCUGAAGCCCCAGCAGCAGCUUAUAAAUCUACCAAACUAUUUUAGUAGAGGUUUUUAACUAUGUAUAAUUGAACUGGAGGGUUUGGGGUUUGUGUUCAUGUGUUUGUAGUGGAAUCCAAACAGGAAAGCUGGGAAAUGAUCUAAACCCUUUGAGGUUAACAUGCCAUGAAAGAGCAUCAACGACAGAAGAGGACAUUAUUAAAAAACAGCCAACCUCGCUCAAAAAGAACCACUGCGUGAAGCAAGAGCCCAAAGAACAACACCCAGGGCUGUUUUUGGUCCUGCAGGGAUAUGUAUUUCAUCCCCUGUCUUCAUCUCUCCAAAUUUCCUCUGAACUGCUUCUGAGCUGCAUGCUUGAGAAAUAAAAACACCAGCAACUACUGAAUGGGUCUUAUCAACCUUUUCCCUGCAAUCUACUUUGUAUUCCUCUCACACCCGUGCUCUUGCAGUGUCUUGGGGAAAUGCUUGGAUCAAAGAUAAGAGAGAACAAGGAAAGGAAUGAAGCAAGAAAUAAACAACAAAACAAAACCACCAUCCCCCAAACUUUUUGACGGAACUCCUCUGUGAACCCUGUGCAUGAUUACUGCAAAGCUAAAACUGCCUUCUUCUUCACCAGUACUUAAUUCCUGCUUUUAAAAUCAGGGUCCCUUUGAUCUUGAGAAUUGAAAUGAUCUGGAAAUGAAACAGCCAUUGCUUUGCAGAAAAUCUGGAGAGGGUCCCAGACAUGGCUUUUACCUGGAAGACUUCCAAAACAGGAUGAAAUCUCUCUAGUUUCAGAACAAAUUGCAAGACUUUUUUCUCUAUGUCUGGUCCAACUGUGGAACUCUAGUCCCGAUGUCUGCUGGUUCCCAAAGCACAGAUGUAAUAACCUCUGAGGUGAAAUGAGAACGUUAUUCCCCCAUCUUCUCCCCUGUGCCUCUCCUUCGAGGGCUGAGGGCUGGGAGAAUGUUAUUAAAGUGAAGGCUUAAAGUUUUGGGCGAACUCAAUUUGAGGAGACAGUAGGUUAUAACCUGGGCUAGAUCCAGCUGAGUGAAGGUUGGAGAGGACAGAGGACCAGGAGCAUCUGUGACAUCUGGAUCCUGUUGUAGGCUCAGAAAUAUCUGCCUGGCUUUACAUGACCUGGUCCCAGAGCCAAAAGGGCUGAGAAAUGUGGUUAAGAGACUGAAGCAGGCUUUGCCCCAGCAAAUGAGUCCCACUGAGAAAGCAAGACAUCAAUAUUUCUUCGAGUCUGUUUCUUUUAGUGAAUGUAUUUCCAUAUGUUGCAUUAAUAUUUCUUUUAUUGGGACUUGUAAGUCCAUCUGGUACUUGGAUUGUGAGGGCUUGAGCUGGCAGAUCCCUACACUGUGCUGCUGCACAGAGAUCUGGACAGCCCUUACGAGGAUGGGUAUGUGACUGGAUAGAGACAACGUCUCCUUAGCUGUCUUUUUAAUUGGAUAAACUUCUCAAAUCAAUCAAGAUAACCAGGUUACUUAUUGUCAGUUAGCUCUGUCAGUGCCAUUUUUUAAUAAUGCAAAAUGAGUAUGGGCUGAGUAUGAAGUAUAGCAGCCCACAGUAAAGAAACCUCUCUUGGACACUGCACACUGCAACAGCCCUGAUCUAGGAAGUGUAAAGGAUGCCUGAGCACCAAUAUUAAGCAGAAAAUGUGCUGAAAUAUCAUAGUUUUUCCAAGACAAUAAGAAUCACUUUCCUUUGCAUGUGUUAUUAAGGAACUGGGGAAUAAUUAUCUGCUUUAAUACAAGCUUUUUCCUUCUGCAUGAUUAACUUCACUGAUAUCAACAGAGAGCGUGAUGACUCUGAAAUGACAGCUCCUGGUAGCACGUUCUGGGAUUAGCAAAAACAGGUUGUCACUUUACCCCAGUUAGGAACAGUCAGUCGCUCUGUGCUGAGUGCUGGACAGAAGAGCCGGGUUCUGCACCAGACAUCUGACAGCCCAAGUGGGCAGCAGGUCCAGCCUCCUGCCAGGUGGCUCUCAGGUCGGGCGUGCAGGGCUCGCUGCUUCAACAGGAGACUCGAUUUUGCGAGGCAGCACAGUGUGAUUUCGGCUGUGCAGCCUCCAGACUGAAAGCACUCCGUCCUCCUUGUGCUAAACCAUGACCUGCUUUAGCCUGGAGAUCUCUGAGCAGCCCCGCUGCAAGGCACAAGGCUCUGUCUCUCCUGCUUUCACUGUUCUUUACAGCAGUGAACAAUGCACUGAGCUGAUUCUAAAAUAUUCUGUACUUUUGAAAUGCCCUGUCUCUGGCUGCUCAAUGUGCAAAGUGACAGCGCACACACCGUGGAGGGGAUGGAGGGAGAGGUAGGACAAACACGCCAGAGAGAACUCUGAGCGAUGGCACGAAACAACAAAAAAAUCCUUUCAUUCUUACUAGAGCUGUAAAAAGUCUGUCAUGGCUUCUGUAGAAAUUAAUCAAUAGAUGGAAAAUUGUGUAACAACUGUGGGGGAAACAGGAAUCUGUUUAUAAAUUAAAGAAAACUAUUGUGAGUUUCUAGAGCUCUCUGGGAAAAGCACUGGGGUGACUAGCCGGGCUCCGUGGAGCCAGGACAGAGUGCAUGGAAUGGGAUCCUUCAGUAAAGUCCAUAUUUUGUCAGUGUCAGGAUGCAUAGGAACUGUAAAACAAAGCAAAUUUUAUGCAUGGAAGCAAACUAAAAAUUUAGCCCUGCGCCAAAUUCCUUUGAAAAUUUCUUAAUAAUUUUUUAAAAAUGAUGAAGUGUCUGUAUAUUUUUAAAGAAAAAUAGGAGGUAAAAAGAUUAAUUCUCAAAAUCUGUGAAAUAUACAGUGAUGAGUUACCGAGGAUUGCAGUGUGGGGGGGUGUUUUUGUAAUUCUGUAGGCAUCUCAGUCCUCUGGUGAAAUGAUGUAUGGGGCAAUCGUCUGGUAGGGGCUGAUGGGAUGUAAAUGAAACUAAUUAAGGAAAUGUCAAACAUAAUUAAUAAAACAGGUUUAAGUUGCAAAAGCACUGUCAGCUGAAUGAAUGGGGAAGAAUGCUGCAUUCCCAUUGUUUUGGGGCUUGCUUGCUUAUUUAUAUAUUUAUUUAUUUA